RNAcentral lists this ribosomal RNA (120 nucleotides) under Nannospalax galili (Upper Galilee mountains blind mole rat). The record is from RNAcentral. Lineage: Eukaryota; Metazoa; Chordata; Mammalia; Rodentia; Spalacidae.
GUCUAUGUCCAUAUACUCUGAACUUAACCAGUCCCUUCUGAUCUUGAAAGCUAAACGGGGUUGCGCCUGGUUAGUACUUGAAUGGUAGACAUUCCUACCCCAGUUCUGGGAAUAUAUGCU